AUUGAACGCUGGCGGCAUGCCUUACACAUGCAAGUCGAACGGCAGCACGGGAGCAAUCCUGGUGGCGAGUGGCGAACGGGUGAGUAAUAUAUCGGAACGUGCCCAGUCGUGGGGAUAACGUAGCGAAAGCUACGCUAAUACCGCAUACGAUCUAUGGAUGAAAGCGGGGGAUCGCAAGACCUCGCGCGAUUGGAGCGGCCGAUAUCAGAUUAGGUAGUUGGUGAGGUAAAGGCUCACCAAGCCGACGAUCUGUAGCUGGUCUGAGAGGACGACCAGCCACACUGGGACUGAGACACGGCCA
Molecule: ribosomal RNA, 301 nt
Filed under: uncultured bacterium
Lineage: Bacteria
Description: bacterial SSU rRNA
Rfam family: Bacterial small subunit ribosomal RNA
Source: RNAcentral